This 454-nucleotide ribosomal RNA is filed under the name uncultured bacterium. Its description in RNAcentral is "bacterial SSU rRNA". It matches the Rfam family "Bacterial small subunit ribosomal RNA", at positions 29 to 521 of the family's 1533-position model. The record is from RNAcentral.
AACGAACACUGGCGGCAUGCCUAACACAUGCAAGUCGAACGGGAUCCUAGCUUGCUAGGUGAGAGUGGCGGACGGGUGAGUAACACGUGGGAAUCUGCCUUUUGGUUCGGGAUAACCGCGGGAAACUGCGGCUAAUACCGAAUGCCCUCGAGAGAGGAAAGAUUUAUCGCCAGAAGAGGAGCCCGCGUCCGAUUAGGUAGUUGGUGGGGUAAAGGCCUACCAAGCCGACGAUCGGUAGCUGGUCUGAGAGGAUGAUCAGCCACACUGGGACUGAGAUACGGCCCAGACUCCUACGGGAGGCAGCAGUGGGGAAUAUUGGACAAUGGGGCAACCCUGAUCCAGCAAUGCCGCGUGAGUGAUGAAGGCCUUAGGGUUGUAAAGCUCUUUUGCCAGGGAAGAUGAUGACUGUACCUGGAGAAUAAGCCCCGGCUAACUUCGUGCCAGCAGCCGCGGU